AACCGGGAUUAGAUACCCGGGUAGUCCCAGCUGUAAACGAUGCUCGCUAGGUGUCAGGUGCGGUGCGACCGCAUCUGGUGCCGCAGUGGAAACUUGAAGCGACUCACCUGGGGAGUACGGUCGCAAGGCUGAAAAUUAAACGAAUCGGCGGAGCACCACUACAACUGAAGCUUCCGGUUUUAUUGGAUUCAACGCCGGGAAUCA
RNAcentral lists this ribosomal RNA (204 nucleotides) under uncultured archaeon. RNAcentral describes it as "partial 16S ribosomal RNA". It matches the Rfam family "Archaeal small subunit ribosomal RNA", at positions 722 to 927 of the family's 1478-position model. The record is from RNAcentral.